RNAcentral lists this non-coding RNA (100 nucleotides) under Clostridium chauvoei. Its description in RNAcentral is "Guanine sequence". It matches the Rfam family "Purine riboswitch aptamer". Rfam says of the family: Riboswitches are metabolite binding domains within certain messenger RNAs that serve as precision sensors for their corresponding targets. Allosteric rearrangement of mRNA structure is mediated by ligand binding, and this results in modulation of gene expression. The record is from RNAcentral. Lineage: Bacteria; Bacillati; Bacillota; Clostridia; Eubacteriales; Clostridiaceae. RNAcentral also lists the same sequence under 1 other name.
GAAUUUAAUUGAUAGAGACUUUGUAUAACUCCAAUGAUAUGGUUUGGGGGUUUCUACCAGGGACCGAUAAUUCCUGAUUACGAAGAAGAUACUUUUGUGU